This is a long non-coding RNA of Hemicordylus capensis (graceful crag lizard), 710 nucleotides long. RefSeq lists it as uncharacterized. The transcript is spliced from 2 exons. The record is from RefSeq and is a predicted model, not a curated record. Lineage: Eukaryota; Metazoa; Chordata; Lepidosauria; Squamata; Cordylidae.
CCCCCAUCGUGCUGUCCAAUUGUGGCAAUGUGAGGUUUGUGCUGAAGCUCCUCCCUCAAGCACACACAAUGGUUGCUGGGCAAGUGAAGCAUUCAGUGGAAGAGGAAGGGGGGAGGGGAUUGCUGGCAGAGGCAAUGAAAGUGCAGCUUCCAGAUCAUCUGCAGGGUGAUUCUUGGCUUCCAAGAUUAACCACAGACUCAGCUGCUGAGCUGUGAUGUCAAGAGAGCGAUCAGACCAUUCCCAGCCUUGGAAUGGUUCCCAUUCCUUCCGUCCUUGUCUGAGCAUAGCACAGGAAGAAGAGGAGAUGGAGGUGAGCUACCCAUUGCCUGCCUGCCUUCCAUAGAAAAGUGAGAAAUAGCUGGGAAGGGGCUGGGAAGGAAGCAGUGGCAAGAUUGAGCAACUUGCAAUUUUUCACCAUGGACUUCUCUGCUGCAUGUCUGCACAUCUGUGACUGCCACACCACCAGCUUUGACAGAAACAGGAAAAAAUUAGGGUAUCCAGGAACCAAACCCACAAUUCAGGAACCAAAUCCCCACUUACAACGUUGUUUUCUGUAGAAGAAUAGGUUCAAAGUUAAGAUGUUUUGACUAAAGACAUUGUUUUCAGGAACCAAUUCUGUAUUAAGUCUGAGGAGUGCCUGUAUACCGCUUAUAUGGUUGGAACACUUUCUGUUUGUUUCCAGUUCUAAAACAAAACACACAAAAACAGCA